CAGGAACUAUAACCUAAUAUCAGUAUCACAGAUUGAAUUGCAUCCUCCUACCUUCACAUCUUGAAGUCCUUACCACCACUACCUCAGAACAUGACCUUAUUUGGAAAUAGGACCAUUCCAGAUAUAAUUCUGAAGCUAAACUCUGUAGAGUAAAAUCGUGUGGUACCAAGACGCAGCCACAGUAACACAAUCACAGCUGGGUACUGGCUCCCAUGUUCUGCCCAGCUUCUGUCUGUGGAUCAAAGUUCCUUUCUUCUUCAGGAGAAGGAAUGGGGCUAGGAAGUGACCAGGAUUUUCUCAGAUCGUGUCACCUUGAUGCUUCCCUGAAGCUGCAGGAGUCUCACUUCCAGCUGAAGGUGUCUGCAGGCUUGUCAUUCCUGGAUGUUGCUAUUUAUGCUGGUCACCCACUGAGGAUGUGGAAACUUCGGGUGCCUGCAUGAUCACUGAACAGCAUGGAUCUGGUGAUGCUGAUGGCUCCUGGGUGAGGACCUGAAGUGGCAGCAGAGGUGCUGGGAAAGGGUCACUAUUUGGUCUCACAAACCCAGUGGAUUUCCUUCCAUCAUCCAUUUGUGUGAGUCAGCCGUUUGCCCCCACUGACCUGAUUGAUACAAUUCAUUCUGGAGCCCUGAAGGCCAGUCCAGCCACCUGGGGGUCUCCAGCUGCCAUGCUGCAAGUGCAGGGAUACCAGUGCCCUUGGAAGUCACCGGGCAGAUGUGGAAGUUCCUACUUGCUCUCAACGCCAUGCCAUGCAGCUUCUCUGCAUCAUGCACUGCCUGCAGGUCCAGAGGAGAGUGAGAACAGUCCCAAAGGGAUUCAAAAUAUGUAAAUGAUAGAGUUUCAGG
Molecule: long non-coding RNA, 842 nt
Organism: Canis lupus familiaris (dog)
Lineage: Eukaryota; Metazoa; Chordata; Mammalia; Carnivora; Canidae
Exons: 4
Source: RefSeq, a predicted model, not a curated record